AUGAACGCUGGCGGCGUAGCCUAAUACAUGCAAGUGAAACGGGUAUCUUCGGAUACCAGUCGCGGACGGGUGAGUAAUACAUAGGCAACCUGCCUUUAUGAGGGGGGAUAACCGAGGGAAACUUUGGCUAAUACCGCAUGAAGACUCUAAGGCAUCGUUAGAGGGAUAAAAGCUGGGAACAACGCAUGAAGAUGGGCUUAUGGCGCAUUAGCUAGUUGGUGAGAUAGAAGCCCACCAAGGUAAUGAUGCGUAGCCGACCUGAGAGGGUGAACGGCCACAUUGGGACUGAGACACGGCCCAAACUCCUACGGGAGGCAGCAGUAGGGAAUUUUCGGCAAUGGGGGGAACCCUGACCGAGCAACGCCGCGUGAAAAGGAAGAAGGUUUUCGGAUUGUAAACUUCUGUUAUAAGGGAAGAACGGAUUGGAUAGGGAAUGAUCUGAUAGUGACGGUACCUUAUUAGAAAGCCACGGCUAACUACGUGCCAGCAGCCGC
RNAcentral lists this ribosomal RNA (494 nucleotides) under uncultured bacterium. RNAcentral's name for it is "bacterial SSU rRNA". It matches the Rfam family "Bacterial small subunit ribosomal RNA", at positions 29 to 518 of the family's 1533-position model. The record is from RNAcentral.